AGGAGAGUGGAGAAAAAGAGCGGGCAGCACUUGAUGGCGUCUAGCUUCACUCGAAAGAGCUUCUAACAAAUUGCUUGAGAUGUGAGGUGGGGCCAUGGGACCUGCUGCUGCUGCUGCUGCUGCGGGGCAAAAAUCGAUGAGGAUAAA
This is a long non-coding RNA of Drosophila serrata, 147 nucleotides long. RefSeq lists it as uncharacterized. Lineage: Eukaryota; Metazoa; Arthropoda; Insecta; Diptera; Drosophilidae. The record is from RefSeq and is a predicted model, not a curated record.